This 25364-nucleotide long non-coding RNA is filed under the name Hordeum vulgare. Its description in RNAcentral is "long non-coding RNA (HVUL_LNC013196)". The record is from RNAcentral. Lineage: Eukaryota; Viridiplantae; Streptophyta; Magnoliopsida; Poales; Poaceae.
GGCGAGAGCGCCGAGGGCAGAGCCGGCACCAUCAUGAACGCCAACGCGGAGCUCUGGAAUGGCCGUUUCGCCAUGCUCGGACUCGUCGCUCUGGCGGCCACGGAGAUCAUCACGGGCGCCCCCUUCAUCAACGUGUAGAAUAAACUAGCUUUCUUGCCGACACGAUAACACGACUUGUACUUAUCUAGUAGGACAUCUGGACAUGUAAAUGAUGAUAACUGAUCAUCCUCUUAUUGUAGUACGUAUGUAGUAUUGCUAAUUAAAGACGGGUAUCUUUCUUUUUUCUCACUCGAAACAUGUUGACAUGAUCAUCUUUCUAAAACAUUAAGACAUCUCGAUUCCUUUGAAUAUUUAUCACAAGAAACCUGUUAAGACAUGCAGUUUCACAAUUCGGGCAUGAAAAUUCUACAUUAAGGCAAAGAUGCACGUGGAGGGGAACAAAUAUGGAACCUGGGUGAGGGUGCACCUUUUUUCAAAAAUAGAAAAAGUAACUUAAUAAUGAUCAAAAACCGUGAAAUUUUUGGCAACCAACCUAAUGAAGUGUUACACUCGCAUAAAUAAUUUCGGGGCGAAAUGACUUUCUUGAUCACUACAAGAAAAUCUAUCUAUAGAGAAAUCAAAUUCCAUAGCUAGAACGUGUUAUUUCAUCCCUACGAUACCAUAAAGUCGAUUUAGUAAAGCGCCUGUUAGAAUAAUUGGAGACAGUCCGUUAAUCUAUCGAGGACCAAACAAUCACACGAGCACGACACCAAGAUUUGUUAGUGAGGUUCACCAAUAUGGCUACAUCCCCGGGACAUGACUAUGGAUGCUCUUUUUCGUGACACCGUCACAAUACCACACCCCGUCCGUAGGUGUGUAGACAAGGUAGGAGUACACACCGUACAGGUGUCCUUAGAGGACACGACUCCUAUCUUGUCUACACACCGUACGACUUCAAGUCCAACUGUAAUCUAUCUUGUACAAUAAUAUUCGACACAACUCUAACAACGUCUUUGUAGCGUCUUCUCACCGACCAUCCAAAAACAUUUAGACACGCUAGCGAAGCGUGUGUACAUAGCGUGAGACGCUAUAUUGAGACGUUCAAAAACGUCCAUAGAUAAAUAGAGGCGUUAUGUUAGCGUAUCACGUCUCUACUCACUUAAUGACGUUUUGUUCAUCAUGGACCCAAUGCUUAUAUACAACAUGUUAAGACCUUAUAUUCGUCUCUAUAUGUACAUAAUCUUUUUUGUUAACUAUAAAAUAGCUUGUUUUUAAAUAUUGUAUUUGAUUUAUUCUUAUUUUUAUUUCAAUAUUUCAAAUCGAAUUACUUUAUAAUGCCAAAUGAAUGUGUAAAAUGACCAAAAUAUUAUACAAAUGAACCCACCCAUAUCACCAAUUGCGUACGCAAUCAACAAAUAUCAUUAUAUAAAGAGAUCCGCCCAUAUCACCAAUUGCAUUCAAAAGCUUCCAUUCACACAAUUAAGAUAAUUAUUAACAAAUCCAGUGCAUUAGUUAGUAGGAACAAACACCUUGAGUUCACAACUGAAUUAAAUCAGACAUUCAUAUGAAAGAUGCAAAUAAUUAAGAAACAUCCUGAAACUUAGAACUAAGUUUUCGUAUGAAGCUGAAAAACGAUCCAUAAUAUUUGUUCACUUGAAGACUAGUUCUUCUGUACUUGCUGUCUUGCUCUUAGCUCCUGCAGUGCAUUCCUUUUCCUAAAUCUUUGGAUAACCUCAAAAAGAUAGAUAACAUAGAAAUGUUUAGAACAAAAGCUUUAAAACUAGUGUAAGAAAAAAUGUUUUUUGAUGAAAUAAUAAGAGAUGCACCAUAAAAAUAUUUUGGGGCUUGUUUUGAGGCUUUGUUGGAGCGGCUGGGAUUGAUUUUUUGCCCUAAAAAUCAUAAAGAUUCUUCAUGAAUAAUAAAACUUAGGCAUGGACAUUGGAGAAUAUUCCAUGGUUGUAUGGAAGUGUACUUACAUGUGAUAGGGCAUGCAAUAACAUGACCAAUAGCAUCCCUUCACUAGUAGAAAACAUGGAUUUGGUCCACGCAUAGAGCUUUAAUCCCGGUUCUAUUAUGAACCGGGACCAAUGGGUGCAUCAGUCCCGGUUCGUGAGGCCAUGGCGCCGGCCGGGCCAUGGUUCCGGUUCGUCUGCCCCCUUUGGUCCCGGUUUCAGACACGAACCGGGACCUAUUGUGACAGCCCGAUGCCGACGUUCCAGAAGAUUCCCCUCUCUUUUCGUUUUCGUCGUGUGUCUAUUUUAUUUGCCACAUCAUCAUCGCAUCAUGCGCAUCAUCUGCAUUGCAUCGGCAUCUCCGUUGCCGCCCGUUUUCAAAACUUGCAUCCAUUAGUAGUUGCCGGUUCUCGUCGUUGCCCGUUCUGAGCCCGACCGCACACGCACGCGCCCGCGGUACCGUCGAAACCCUGUUUUUAAAGUGCGUUUAAAACUUUCUCUGAUCGGGUUGAGAUUUGAUGUGCGGUCGUGUUUAGUUAUAGCGAGACCGCCUGUCGAAUGUCGUCGCGAUCGGAGACCGUCUGGUACCCGAACGGUCAACCGUAGCGGCAUCGUAUUCGGGCUACCGUCGGACGUGUGUCAGUGUUUUAAAUCGCGUUGCCGCGCCGCCCGUUCUCCCUCUCGCCUCCGCCUAGCCACUCUACACAGCCCACCUAACCAUUCCGCGUCUGUGGCCGUCCGAUUGCGGUGACGUGGUCGAAAACUAAUCCGAAUUCGGAUAACCCUAGCCCGUUUUCUAUAAAUAGGCACCAAACCCUAGGUCUUCCUCGUUUUCCGCGCCCCUCAAACCCUAGCCGCGCCCUCUCUCUCCUCCCUCCAGCCCAGCCGUCGGGGGCCCGCCCGAGCCCGCAGCCGGCCCGCCCCGGGCCCGGAUUCGCGCCGCCGCCUCUCACCCCUGUCCCGUGCCACGCCCCGUGGUGCCGCGCGUCGCCGGCGAUCCCGAGCGCCUCCUGCCCGCAGCGUCGUGCCGGCCCCGUCCCCUCCGGCGCCGCCGCCUGCCCCGUGCCUCUCCACCGCCAUGCCGCCGCCUCGGCUCCCCGAGCUGCUGCCCGAGGAGCCGCCACCGCCAGCUCUUCCUCCUGCCGCCAUGGGUCCCGCUCCGCCGACGCCAGUCGCCGCUGCAUCACCUACUGCCGGAUCUGCGCUCCCCGCCGCCGGAUCCCAUCGCGCCACCCCGCUUUGACCUCGAUCCGGCCGGGGCCGAGCUCCCCUUGCCGCCGGAGACCGCCGCCGCCAUGUCCUGUCCUCGUGCCCUCGGGCACGGGAGGGGACGAGCACGUCGCUCGCCCCGUGGGCCUCCUCCGCCCCAGCCCAGCAGGCCAGCCUCCCUGGCCCGAGUCGGCCGACUCCUGCGCCUGGCCUCGGGGCCCAACCAGCCUAGCCAGGCUACUCCUCCGAGCAGGCCGAAAGUCCCGACAGUGAGACGCCAAGCCCUUCUGUUUUUCGCCCCGUGCGCCGUGUUGCUAUGUUACGCCCACCAGAUUCGGCCCGUUAGAAUUUAGGAGUUUUCGAUUUAGUUUUAUUUCAGGAAUUAGACGAAUAUAGUUUCGCCCGUAACUUUUAAUCCGUAUGUCGGAUCGCGAAGACUUUUAUAUGCUUUUCUUGUAGUUUCUCGAGUAGAACCCGUUUAUAAGACUUGCAUGUUUUUUGACGUAGUUUAACGUGUCAUAUAUAUAGAUUAGCGUGCUGUCCCAAUAGAAUAGCGUCCGUUAUAAUUUUUUGCGCAAGUCUGGAUUGCUCGGAUGCCAUGAUAGAAAUGCUCGUGUUUUAGGGAUCAUUUUUGCAUGUAUUUUAGAGGGGUCAAUUGUAUUUUUAUGUGUAGGGAUUUGCCUCUAGUUUAUUUUCCCGUAUAUAGGUUAUUCUCCCGCUUGAUUGUGUGGCAUCAUAUUGUGUUGCAAACCCCAUAUAUUUUAUAUGUUUCCGGGGUAGAAAAAUCCCAUGGAUUUUUCUGUUCAAUUAGUUUUAGUUUUUGAGGAAGUUAGUUCGCGAGAUAUUUUGCUAAGUUGCCCUUUUGUUUAAUUCGUAGGAUUUAUUCCGUGCCUCGUUUGAGUUAGUUGUCAACUAGGAAGUUGUUCUUGGGUGUUUUGUCUAGCCUCUGGUAUUUUUGGUUACAAUAGAAAUGCAUGUUUAGGUGUGAUUUGCUUGCUCUCAAGUUGCUAGAAAUAGUGUUGUUUUAGAGGAGCUGAAAUAUUUCUAAGUCUGGAAUCUGUUAUUAUUUUGUUGCCGUCUUGUCUUGCUUGUAGCUUGUGCUCUAUAGCUCUUUUGAGGUUGGUCCAAUGGAGUUAGUUGUUUCCCUUGUGUUUCUCUAGCAUGCUGUUAAUUUUCAUGCUAGUUGGAGACCUGUAGCUUAGGAUUUUGCUGCUGUCAAUAUGCCUUCAGGCUGAAAAUUGCAAUUUCAUGAGGUGUAAUUUUCACUAAGUCUGAAAUAGUGUGUGAGAUGCCAUUUUGUGUCUUCUUUUACUAGUGAUCCAUGAUGCAAUGAUAGUUGUUGUUAGUUGUUUGUAGUAGUGCGUCUUGCCCUCUUUCAUGACAUGCCUUGAUUGAGUUUAUCGGAGUUGUGUAGCCGAAGUUGUGAGGCGUAGAAAAUGUUAUGUGGCUGAUUUUGGCAGAUUGUAGCGUUUUCUUGUUUUGCUCGUAGUUUUCGAACCGUAGCUCCGUUUUGAUCGUGUCCUACAUGAAACUUGCUUAGAAUCUCGUGUAGUUUCAUUUUCUCUUGCUGUUAGAAUGUUUUGAAGUGUUCGUAACCGCCGUUGCACACAUUUUGCAUUCAUGCCAUCAUAUCUGGCGGUGCUUGUAUCUUUUGAACCGUUGCUCCGUUGGAGAUGUUCUUUACGUGUAGGUUGCUUGCCUUGACGCGUAGAAUCACGUGAACCUAUUGGUUUUGCUGUUUAGCAACUAAUUAAAGGUGUUAAUUCAGAUCUGGAUAGAAUUGUAAAUUAACAUGUGAGGUCGUUUUGGAGGUGCUAUAUGUCAUUUCCGACCUCAUUUAAAAUGCCUAGAUAGGUAGUUUAAUUUCUGCUUCACCUCUUGCAUGUUUGACAACAUUAUUAUUGCCGUGUAGAUAACCGGGAGUGAACUAAAUAAUUAACGUGGAGUUUCGUCAAUAUGCAACUCGUGCAUAUUGAACUUCACUUAAUGUGUAGUGUUUCAUUGUGUGAUUUGUCAUGCCGUGACUUGCAUGUAUUCAGUAGCUCAUGCAUCAUAUGUGUAGUGCAUCGUGUGGUGAAUUUCGUGUGUUGAUUUGUGUUUCCGGUUUGCUUCGUCUCGAUAGAGUUCCGCAACGUGCCGGAUUGUGAGGACCCGUUCGACUACGUCGGUUCGUCUGCUUCACGGAGGCAUUCUUCUUCCAAGCAGGAUCUCAAGCAAGAUGAUCAUUUCCGCAGAUACCAUUACUAUCAUUGCCAUGCUAGUUUUAUCGCUUCUAUCGAUUAUGUCUCGUUGCCUACAACCUGUUAAAUAUUAGCCUCUCAACAAUGCCACGAUUGCCUUCAACCUGUUCAACCUAGCAAACCACUGAUUGGCUAUGUUACUACUUGCUUAACCCUGUUGAUAGCGUUGCUAGUUGCAGGUGCAGAUGCUUCCAUGCAAAAGCAUGGGUUCCUUGUUAUAUCACCAUAUUAAAUGCUAUUUAAUUUAAUGCACCUAUAUACUUGGUAAAAGGUGGAAGGCUCGGCCUUUCUAGCCUGGUGUUUUGUUCCACCUUUGCCCCCUUAGUUUCGGCUACCGGUGUUAUGUUCCAUAAAUGAGCGCUCCUAACACGAUCGGGGUUGUUAUGGGGACCCCCUUGAUAAUUCGUUUUAGAUUAAAGCUGGUCUGGCAAGGCCCAACUUUGGUACUACAUUUGCCUAAACACCUAAUAAAAUUGCAUAGGGACUUUCCGGACCCCGAGGAUAAUUUAAUCAACCCCGGGCCAGUGCUCCUCAUGAGUGUUGGCCCCACCUGAGCGAUGUCCGGCGCCCCUCUGGUCACCCGGAGGUUUAGCGAUCCCGACGUCUAGCUCAUCUGUCGUGUCCUAAGAACGAGGUACGCGACUCCUAUCGGGAUCGUCGACACGUCGGGCGGCCUUGCUGGAUUAGUUUUACCUUUGACGAGAUAUCUUGUGCAUCGGGAUUUCGGUGAUGCUUUGGGUAAUCUCAGAGUUGAGGUUUUCCACUAGGGAAUCCGACGAGAUCGCGAGCUUCGUGAUUGAGGAUUUCUAUGCGGCUUAUGGUAAUUUGUGAUGGACUAGUUGGAGCACCCCUGCAGGGUUAAAUCUUUCGGAAAGCCGUGCUCGCGGUUAUGUGGCAACGUGGAUACUUUGUUUAACACUGGUUCUAGAUAACUUGAAGUUAACUUAAUUAAAACAUGCCAACUGUGUGCGUAACCGUGACUGUUUCUUUCGUGAGUUCUUUCUCCGAUCGAGGACACGGUGGGGUUAUGUCUGACGUAGGUAGGUGUUCAGGAUCAUUCAUUUGAUCAUCAGUAGUUCACGUCCGUUAUGCGUAGAUCUUCCCCCUCUUAUUUCUUGUACUCGUAAGCUAGCCACCAUACAUAUAUUGUUAGCCGCUGCUCAACCUCACCACUUAACCAUACCUCACCCAUUAAGCUUUGCUAGUCUCGAUACCUUUGGAAAUGAGAUUGCUGAGUCCCAUGUGGCUCACAGAUUACUACAACACCAGUUGCAGGUACAGGUAAAGGUUACGUGACGCGAGCACGUUGAUUGUUCAUUUGGAGUUGCUUCUUCUUCUUCUUCUUCAUUGAUCUAGGAUGGGUUCCAGGCCGGCAGCCUGGGAUAGCAAGGAUGGACGUCGUUCUUCUUUUGUCGUUUGUUUUCGUCCGUAGUCGGACCCUGCUCUUACUCUUGAUGAUUAUGUUAUGUGCUGAUGUGACUCUGAUGUAGCUUGUGGCGAGUGUAAGCCAAUUCUUUAUAUAUCUCAUCUUUUCAAGACAUGUACUUGUAACGAUAUCCAUUCUUGCGACACGACGAGAUGCGCUUCUAUCCCUAACGAGGCCUUCGUGCCAAAUUGAGGAUAGGGUCGCAUCUUGGGCGUGACAAGUUGGUAUCAGAGCAAGGACCGACCUAGGAGCCCCCUUGAUCGAUCGAACUUGGCCGAGUUGAGUCUAGUGAAAAACUAUUUGAGUCUUAGUUAUAUAUCGGAGAGUAGGAUUCUUUGUUCUCCUCUUGUAUGCUCUGGUGAGGAAUCGUGACGUAAUAAUUUACUCUACUCCUCUUCUCACUCAAAAAAAAAUUAGGAUCACGCGGAUAUUGUUGGAAUCUAUAUGAUGCCGAUGUGACGGAGUUCUGUCUUGGUGCCUCCUGUCUGACUUGAUUUUCUUCCGGGGAGUUGAGCUCCAGGGGAUUCUUGAGCACAUCGUUAUCAUUCAGAUUUCUUAGUAUCUCAGAACGAAGGAUGUUCGUAAUUGCUUCAAUACGAGUAGUGGCGAGAUAACCCCGAUGUCCCCAGUACUGGUGCAGAUUGUUCGGGAGUACUGCCAUACUUUGUAUCGUUGUGAUCACGAGGGUCUAUUGUAGAUGAAGGUCCGAGAUUCUGGUCGUGUGUUGACGGAUGAGAUACAAGUGACAGUUUAGUAUAGGAGUUGUGUGAUAUUACUCCUUGUAUCCGUGUACCAGAUUGCAUGACCAGAUAUUUCGGGAAUUCAUAGGUGGGAAUUCAAGUAGUUGCUUAUAGGACAAUCUUCCAACAAAUGCAUGAUGUUAGGUUGGGGUUCGACAUCUAGUGGAUUCGUUUGUUCACGGUCGACUUACAGCAGUACACGUUGCGUCUUAAAGAGUCCUUGUAGCUUGCUACGACUCGGGGACGCUUCGUAUGUCGGGUGCACUAUCUUGCACUUGAUGGCUACUGUAAAUCGUGCCCGUGCGAUCCUGUCCACAAAAUAUCGGACGAAAUCUUUCUCAUGAGUUUUUUCUGGCUUGUUUCGUAAGCCACACCCUUUGUUUUGUUGAACUAUGGUAAUUCAAGUUGCUUCGAUGUCAAGUGGUGAUUUCAGAUCUUUCCUAAUCUGUGUUCUCAUAUUUUUAUGGGAAUGCAAAUUCUUUGGUCAGUCAGAUCGUCGUAUCAAUUCCAUUCAACCGGUGUGUUUCUCUCCAAGUGGAUUCAAUCCUCUCCAAUUUUUGCAAGAUCGUUCUCUUUUCAUCCGGAGUUCGUCUCUUCUGUCUCAAGUAGUCUUGUUUUUCCCCGCCGUCCCGCCCUUUUUCUUCGGUGAUUGGAUUUCAUCCAAGCGCAUUCAUUUCAUUGUGCUUCCGCUAUCUCUUCUUCCUUUCGUAGCCGGUGAUUCAUCGUGAAGAUUCUCAGGAGCUUCAUGUUCAUCUUUAUUCAUUCUUGUCAUCUUUUCCGGUGAAUUCAAUUUAGUUCUCCGUGUCAUCAUAUCCAUUCAUCCCUGUAAUUCUUUCCUAUGUUGGAGAUUCGUUUCAGCCUAUUUUUUUUUAUUAUUCAGUUAUCGCUAUUCCACCCGGAGCGUUGGAUAUACCUCAGACUUUCUUGUUCAGGUCUUUCAUUAUUUCAAGGUUCUCAACCUCAUCUAGUUUUCUUAUUCCGGUGCAAUAUCUCUCGUUCUAGCUAUUGUUUCAAUGGUGAUUUUCUUUGAGUGGACCCAUAACCCACAGGUUCUUCCCAGGAUCCUACCUGGCUCUUUAAUCUUUUCCGGAGGUCCUUAACUCUUUUCAACUAUGACGUAAGUAUGAUUUUCAUCAGUCAUAUUCCUUCUUCAAGAUCAAUUUGGGUUAAUUCUCUUAUUUGGCUCAACCGGGCAUCCUUCUUUAUUCCGGAGCAUCUCAUUAAUUCUUGGUGGCGUUCUCCUCAUCAUUCUAAGCUUGCAAUUCGAAGGAGUGUUUCUCUCAGUCUUGUUCCAUUCUUGUGAAGACUAUCACCGCAGCUUCGUGUAUCCUCUCAUUUGUUCCAAACAUGAGUGAUUCAUUUCUGGCUAUCCGGUGCAUUUCUGAGUUGUUUUCAUUCUCGAUCCUCCGAAGGCCAUCAUCCAGAAGAUUCUUCGUUCUCAGCUUUCAGCCUUCGUCCUAAAUUCUUCUCAAUUGUUGUCUCUUCGUUCGUCUCUCGAGAUCCGGUGCCUUGUUCAAGUUUCUCUCAGGUGGCUCAUGAUCUCUUCAUUCUCAUGUAUCUCCAUUGAUUCAUGGUGUUUCCAUUCAAUUGUGAAUUCUUACCGGUGCUUCCUUCAAUUAGGCCUCAAGUGGUGCUUAUCUCUCUAUCUCUUCAAGAUUCUUUCAAGAGGAAUAAGUUGUAUGCUAAAUCCUUGCUAGUCAUCAAUUAUACUUGAUGAAGGAUUAGCAUAACAUAAUUCUUAUUCUUGUUCUUCCUUCUUCCAAGAUAUUUCAAUUCUUCUUCCGGAGUGGCUCAUGAUAUCAAUUCCUUUUUAUCAAGUGUUAUUAUCUUUUCUUUUCCGGACUUCCAAGUUUUCUGAAGUGUCUCAUCGUGAAGCUUCAUCGAACUCUUCACAAGGCUUCAGUCUUAUUCUUUUCUACCUUCAUAUUUUUGCAUCAUUCAUUUGUAUACGGUGGUCCUUCACGGUGGUUCUUCAAGAUUUCAUUCUUUCUUAAGUGGUCUUCAAGACUCUUGUUGGAGUACCUCAACUAUCCUUUCUCUUGCAUUUCCAAGUGCAUUUGUUCUUCCUUUAUCCUUUGAGGUGGUAUUAUAGCCUUCUUGUUAGUGUAGGAGCCUUAGAGAGUUUUCCUUUCAAUGAUGAGAUAAUUAAACCCACCGAUUCUAUGGUGUUGAGAUAUUUUCAACCCAUGAUUUCUUCAUUGAGCUAUCUUGGUUUGGAUUUCACCUAAAGCUUUUCCUAUGGAUUGUGCUAUCAUGGUGCUUGUCUUUAAUCCAAGUUCUCGAUGUAUCCUCUUGGCGUAAGAUUGUUCACGUCUUGUUUCUCCCAAUCAAUCCUUGUUUCUUUAGUGGUUGGUUGUCACCUCACAUGUGUUGAGAAGGUUUUCAUAAGCCCACUACUGUCUUGUUCUUUUCGUUGUUGUUUUUCCAACAACUUCGUUCAAUUCUUCUUGCAAGGAUGCUUGUCAAGUUCAUUAGAGUUGAUAGUUGUCAUUCUUUUCUUCAUUCUCUCCUUCCGCUUGAGCUAGUUCCUAUUCUCUUGUUCCGGAGGCAUGGUGAUGUUGCUCUUUGGGGUCUAUCGUCUUGUUCUGUCAAGAUCACGGUGUUCCCUUGCUCUAUUUAGUUGUUUGUUAUGAUUAUUGUCUAUUUCUUCUACCGUUUCGAUUUUUCUGUCCAUUUUUCCUAUCGAAGUGCUGCCGAAAUUUUCCGUGAAUUCUUGCUUCCUUCUCAUAUCAGUCCUCAUCUCUUUGCAACCUUCAACGAUUGUUGUUUUCACUCGUUGUCAAGGAAGCGACUAAGUUUUUACCACUUGUUCUUUCGCACCCCCUUCCCCUUUCAUUCUUGGAUCUCGGGGCGAGAUCCUCUUGUAGUGUAGGAGUGUUGUGACAGCCCGAUGCCGACGUUCCAGAAGAUUCCCCUCUCUUUUCGUUUUCGUCGUGUGUCUAUUUUAUUUGCCACAUCAUCAUCGCAUCAUGCGCAUCAUCUGCAUUGCAUCGGCGUUUCCGUUGCCGCCCGUUUUCAAAACUUGCAUCCGUUAGUAGUUGCCGGUUCUCGCCUGCCCGUUCUGAGCCCGACCGCACACGCACGCGCCCGCGGUACCGUCGAAACCCUGUUUUUAAAGUGCGUUUAAAACUUUCUCUGAUCGGGUUGAGAUUUGACGUGCGGUCGUGUUUAGUUAUAGCGAGACCGCCUGUCGAAUGUCGUCGCGAUCGGAGACCGUCUGGUACCCGAACGGUCGACUAUAGCGGCAUCGUAUUCGGGCUACCGUCGGACGUGUGUCAGUGUUUUAAAUCGCGUUGCCGCGCCGCCCGUUCUCCCACUCGCCUCCGCCUAGCCACUCUACACAGCCCACCUAACCAUUCCGCGUCUGUGGCCAUCCGAUUGCGGUCACGUGGUCGAAAACUAAUCCGAAUUCGGAUAACCCUAGCCCGUUUUCUAUAAAUAGGCACCAAACCCUAGGUCUUCCUCGUUUUCCGCGCUCCUCAAACCCUAGUCGCGCCCUCUCUCUCCUCCCUCCAGCCCAGCCGUCGGGGGCCCGCCCCGGGCCCGGAUUCGCGCCGCCGCCUCUCACCCCUGUCCCGUGCGACGCCCCGUGGUGCCGCGCGCCGCCGGCGAUCACGAGCGCCUCCUGCCCGCAGCGUCGUGCCGGCCCCGUCCCCGUCCGGCGCCGCCGCCUGCCCCGUGCCUCUCCCCCGCCAUGCCGCCGCCUCGCCACCCCGAGCUGCUGCCCGAGGAGCCGCCGCCGCCAGCUCUUCCUCCUGCCGCCAUGGGUCCCGCUCCGCCGACGCCAGCCGCCGCUGCAUCACCUACUGCCGGAUCUGCGCUCCCCGCCGCCGGAUCCCACCGCGCCACCCCGCUUUGGCCUCGAUCCGGCCGGGGCCGAGCUCCCCUUGCCGCCGGAGACCGCCUCCGCCAUGUCCUGUUCUCGUGCCCUCGGGCACGGGAGGGGACGAGCACGUCGCUCGCCCCGUGGGCCUCCUCCGCCCCAGCCCAGCAGGCCAGCCUCCCUGGCCCGAGUCGGCCGACUUCUGCGCCUGGCCUCGGGGCCCGACCGGCCUAGCCGGGCUACUCCUCCGAGCAGGCCGAAAGGCCCAACAGUGAGACGCCAAGCCCUUCUGUUUUUCGCCCCGUGCGCCGUGUUGCUAUGUUACGCCCACCAGAUUCGGCCGUUAGAAUUUAGGAGUUUUCGAUUUAGUUUUAUUUCAGGAAUUAGACGAAUAUAGUUUCGCCCGUAAAUUUUAAUCCGUAUGUCGGAUCGCGAAGAUUUUUAUAUGCUUUUCUUGUAGUUUCUCGAGUAGAACCCGUUUAUAAGACUUGCAUGUUUUUUUGACGUAGUUUAACGUGUCAUAUAUAUAGAUUAGCGUGCUGUCCCAAUAGAAUAGCGCCCGUUAUAAUUUUUUGCGCAAGUCCGGAUUGCUCGGAUGCCAUGAUAGAAAUGCUCGUGUUUUAGGGAUCAUUUUUGCAUGUAUUUUAGAGGGGUCAAUUGUAUUUUUACGUGUAGGGAGAGGGGUCAAUUGUAUUUUUAUGUGUAGGGAUUUGCCUCUAGUUUAUUUUCCCGUAUAUAGGUUAUUCUCCCGCUUUAUUGUGUGGCAUCAUAUUGUGUUGCAAACCCCACAUAUUUUAUAAGUUUCCGGGGUAGAAAAAUCCCAUGGAAUUUUCUGUGCAAUUAGUUUUAGUUUUUGAGGAAGUUAGUUCGCGAGAUAUUUUGCUAAGUUGCCCUUUUGUUUAAUUCGUAGGAUUUAUUACGUGCCUCGUUUGAGUUAGUUGUCAACUAGGAAGUUGUUCUUGGGUGUUUUGUCUAGCCUCUGGUAUUUUUGGUUACAAUAGAAAUGCAUGUUUAGUUGUGAUUUGCUUGCUCUCAAGUUGCUAGAAAUAGUGCUGUUUUAGAGGAGCUGAAAUAUUUCUAAGUCUGUAAUCCGUUAUUAUUUUGUUGCUGUCUUGUCUUGCUUGUAGCUUGUGCUCUAUAGCUCUUUUGAGGUUGGUCCAAUGGAGUUAGUUGUUUCCCUUGUGUUUCUAUAGCAUGCUGUUAAUUUUCAUGCCAUUUGGAGACCUGUAGCUUAGGAUUUUGCUGCUGUCAAUAUGCCUUCAGGCUGAAAAUUGCACUUUCAUGAGGUGUAAUUUUCACUAAGUCUGAAAUAGUGUGUGAGAUGCCAUUUUGUGUCUUCUUUUCCUAGUGAUCCAUAAUGCCAUGAUAGUUGUUGUUAGUUAUUUGUAGUAGUGAGUCUUGCCCUCUUUCAUGCCAUGCCUUGCUUGAGUUUAUCGGAGUUCUGUAGCCGAAGUUGUGAGGCGUAGAAAAUGCUAUGUGGCUGAUUUUGGCAGAUUGUAGCGUUUUCUUGUUUUAUUCGUAGUUUUCGAACCGUAGCUCCGUUUUGAUCGUGUCCUACAUGAAACUUGCUUAGAAUCUCGUGUAGUUUCAUUUUCUCUUGCUGUUCGAAUGUUUUGAAGUGUUCGUAGCCGCCGUUGCACACAUUUUGCAUUCAUGCCAUCAUAUCUGGCGGUGCUUGUAUCUUUUGAACCGUAGCUCCGUUGGAGAUGUUCUUUACGUGUAGGUUGCUUGCCUUGACGCGUAGAAUCACGUGAACCUAUUGGUUUUUCUGUUUAACAACUAAUUAAAGGUGUUAACUCAGAUCUGGACAGAAUUAUAAAUUAACAUGUGAGGUCGUUUUGGAGGUGCUAUAUGUCACUUCCGACCUCAUUUAAAAUGCCUAGAUAGGUAGUUUAAUUUCCGCUUCACCUCUUGCAUGUUUGACAACAUUAUUAUUGCCGUGUAGAUAACCGGGAGUGAACUAAAUAAUUAACGUGGAGUUUCGUCAAUAUGCAACUCGUGCAUAUUGAACUUCACUUAAUGUGUAGUGUUUGAUUGUGUGAUUUGUCAUGCCGUGACUUGCAUGUAUUCAGUAGCUCAUGCAUCAUAUGUGUAGUGCAUCGUGUGGUGAAUUUCUUGUGUUGAUUUGUGUUUCCGGUUUGCUUCGUUUCGAUAGAGUUCCGCAACGUGCCGGAAUGUGAGGACCCGUUCGACUACGUCCGUUCGUCUGCUUCACGGAGGCAUUCUUCUUCCAAGCAGGAUCUCAGGAAAGAUGAUCAUUUUCCCAGAUACCAUUAUUAUCAUUGCCAUGCUAGUUUUAUCGCUUCUAUCGAUUAUGUCUCCUUGCCUACCACCUCUUAAAUAUUAGCCUCUCAACAAUGACACGAUUACCUUCAACCUGUUCAACCUAGCAAACCACUGAUUGGCUAUGUUACUGCUUGCUUAACCCUGUUGAUAGCGUUGCAGUUGCAGGUGCAGAUGCUUCCAUGCAAAAGCAUGGGUUCCUUGUUAUAUCAUCAUAUUAAAUGCUAUUUAAUUUAAUGCACCUAUAUACUUGGUAAAAGGUGGAAGGCUCGGCCUUUCUAGCCUGGUGUUUUGUUCCACCUUUGCCCCCUUAGUUUCGGCUACCGGUGUUAUGUUCCAUAAAUGAGCGCUCCUAACACGGUCGGGGUUGUUAUGGGGACCCCCUUGAUAAUUCGUUUUAGAUUAAAGCUGGUCUGGCAAGGCCCAACUUUGGUACUACAUUUGCCUAAACACCUAAUAAAAUUGCAUAGGGACUUUCCGGACCCCGAGGAUAAUUUAAUCAACCCCCGGGCCAGUGCUCCUCAUGAGUGUUGGCCCCACCUGAGCGAUGUCCUGCGCCCCUCUGGUCACCCGGAGGGUUAGCGAUCCCGACGUCUAGCUCAUCCGUCGUGUCCUGAGGACGAGGUACGCGACUCCUAUCGGGCUCGUCGACACGUCGGGCGGCCUUGCUGGAUUAGUUUUACCUUUGACGAGAUAUCUUGUGCAUCGGGAUUCCGGUGAUGCUUUGGGUAAUCUCAGAGUUGUGGUUUUCCACUAGGGAAUCCGACGAGAUCGCGAGCUUCGUGAUUGAGGAUUUCUAUGCGGCUUGUGGUAAUUUGUGAUGGACUAGUUGGAGAACCCCUGCAGGGUUAAAUCUUUCGGAAAGCCGUGCCCGCGGUUAUGUGGCAACGUGGAUACUUUGUUUAACACUGGUUCAGAUAACUUGAAGUUAACUUAAUUAAAACAUGCCAACUGUGUGCGUAACCGUGACUGUCUCUUUCGUGAGUUCUUUCUCCGAUCGAGGACACGGUGGGGUUAUGUCUGACGUAGGUAGGUGUUCAGGAUCAUUCAUUUGAUCAUUAGUAGUCCACGUCCGUUAUGCGUAGAUCUUCCCCCUCUUAUUUCUUGUACUCGUAAGCUAGCCACCAUACAUAUAUGCUUAACCGCUGCUGCAACCUCACCACUUAAACAUACCUCACCCAUUAAGCUUUGCUAGUCUCGAUACCUUUGGAAAUGAGAUUGCUGAGUCCCCUGUGGCUCACAGAUUACUACAACACCAGUUGCAGGUACAGGUAAAGGUUACGUGACGCGAGCGCGUUGAUUGUUCAUUUGGAGUUGCUUCUUCUUCUUCUUCUUCUUCAUCGAUCUAGGAUGGGUUCCAGGCCGGCAGCCUGGGAUAGCAAGGAUGGACGUCGUUCUUCUUUUGUCGUUUGUUUUUGUCCGUAGUCGGACCCUGCUCUUACUCUUGAUGAUUAUGUUAUGUACUGAUGUGACUCUGAUGUAGCUUGUGGCGAGUGUAAGCCAAUUCUUUAUAUAUCUCAUCUUUUCAGUACAUGUACUUGUAACGAUAUCCAUUCUUGCGACACGACGAGAUGCGCUUCUAUCCCUGACGAGGCCUUCGUGCCAAAUUGAGGAUAGGGUCGCAUCUUGGACGUGACACCUAUGGUCCUCGCUCCUGGCGCAACACCUUAGUCCCGGUUGAUGGCUGGAACCGGGACUAAAGGUCAGUAUUCUGUCCUGGUUCUGGCCACCAACGGACCAAAGAGAUGCCUAUACAUACCCUCGCCCCUGCCCAUCUUCACCCUCUCCUUUGUUUAUUGACCGUGUGGGAGGUGUGCAUGCCCUGCUCUGUUCACCGUUCUAUGCAUGAACAUGAGGUGUUCGAUGAAAUGAGACGUAUGAGCUAUGGACUCAACUAUGACCAAUGUAAUCUCAACAUCUUCGUGUAACUAUGUUUAACUUCUUACUUAUCUCAUGUAAAAGAUCUGAUAAGGAUAUCGAUCGACCUCUUUCAUGUACGCCACGAUAAGGACUUCAAAUGAUCUUUUUUAUGAUGAUUUCGCCAAAAUACCUAAAAAACUCCAAUAUUUGAGCAAUCAGGGAAAAAAAUAUUUUUUAUAAUUAGGAUUUUUUUCAUUAUGCCGCAAAUAAUUAGAAAAUAGCUCGAACAGAAUGCCAGAUAUGGAGUUAAACAUCUCCAAACACCAGCAAAACGUGUCGUCUUUGUAUACUCGUCAUAGUAUUUAUAUGGCUAUUCCGUCAGGUGUUUGAUAGUGCUGAUUAUUGACAUGGUUGCUAUUCCUUUUCACAGGCACGCGCGAGGUCGGACCAUCAGUCGGCCGCACGUGUAAUCAAUGUUGCCGUAAUACAUGGUUGAUCCUUCUUUAGUCCUGAACAGUCAGGCCAGUUGCACUGAACUAGCCUAUGUAUCGUGCACUCAACUGAUAAACUGCUAUAAAAAAUUUGAGGCCCUAAAAAUAAGAGGUCCUGUGCGGCCGGCACUAUUGCACAUGUGGUUGGUCCGGCCGUGACCACUAUUGAGCCAUUGUAAAGAGAAAUAAUAAUUUUCAUAAUUUUUUGAAUAACUAUACUGGUAGUCUAGUACCACACAUAGGUCAGAUCAACGUAUGCAUGUGGCAUGAUAGUUGUGUGAGUACUCAUGCUUUCCUGCUUGCGAGGCUCCGAAGUGCUUUUGAUUAGGUAAACGUUUUCAGCCGGAGCGUCGGCUGGAACAUCCCGCCGGACUCGCUAGGUCUGUUCGAUCUACAAUGAUUGAAACACGCCCGCAGCGUCAUGUGGACUGUUUUUUUUCACCUGCCACCGAUUUGCUUCGAAUCGGUCAUUUGCAUCUCAUCCACACCAUUUUCGAACGACAGGGGCGACUGGGAGGGGUACAGGGCCGACGGCUGCUGCGGCGAUAGGGCCGCCGGAUCCGGCGACAGCGCCCGCGACGGCGGCGGCGGGCACGUUCUCCAACUACCUAUUCUUCCUCUCGUCUCUGUCAGAUCUAUUCUUCGUUCCCGUCAGAUCCAUGGUGGACGAAAAAGUUACAUCCGGCUACACGGGAGCUUCAACCGGCAGACGGGAGGAGCUUCAAUCAGAAUGGCGACGGCGGGCGGGUGAUCCCAUGGCCGGUAGGUGAGAUUGUUGCACGAGGAUCUGCAGGGAUGAUGUCGCGAAUGCUACAACCACGUAUCACAAAAGCUGCAAGCAUCCAAAAAAAAUCUACAACCGUUGAUAAGAAAAGUUACAACCACGUCCGUGAGAGUUGCAACCAAACUUCGCUGGAGUUUGUAGCCGGAGUUGCAACCAUGAUGAAAAAAUAUUGCAACCAUUAUACAAAUUUGCUACAUCAGUCAUUUUGUUUUGUUGCAACCAUAUUUUUGUGCUACAAUCGUUGGCAUGACGAGAUGCAACCAUGAUGGGAAAUUGCUACAACCAUUAUAUAUUUUGUUACAUCCUCUUUCUGUUUUGUUGCAACCGUAUAGUUUUGUUGCUUCCACCGACAAUUUUUUUUUCUUCACGUGAGGCAAAAUGCUACUACCACUAUACAAAUUUGCUACAUUUGCCAUUCUGUUUUGUUGCAACCGUAUUCUGCCAACAGAGCUCAUCUCAGAGCUUGAGCCCAAAUCCAUGGCAGCAAGUAGUUGGUUCUGGAUGUAAACAUGGUUGAAGCAAACCCUAGGUCCCGUGAUAGAUGGGGAAGACCCUCCUCGAGCUAAUCAUGCAUGCCGCCGCCGCGGAUCGGGGACGGGCCGACGUGGGGGCAGAAGGCUCUGCGGUUGAAGCUUUUCUAAAAAACGACGGGGAACGACCAUGACAGGAGCUACAAGGAUGACGACCAGCGGCGAGGACGGGACGGCUUUGCGGCGCUGCGGGGUGCGGUUUGCGGUGCUGCGGUGAAGACGAGGCGGCUUGCAUCAGUGCGGGGCGGGGUGGGGCUGCGCUCGAAAAAAGAAAGAAAAAAUAAAAAAUCAACGCAGAUUGAACGAUAGGGUUGGCUGCAUCGGACGGCUAGGACACGACCGACGCAACUACUUGGACCGGCGCGCCGGCGCCUAGCACUGCGCUUUUGAUUAGCUCGGGAAAGAAACAAAAACCGAAUCCCAUAGUGAUAAGCAUGUCGUCCAUGUUUGCUACUUCACUGUUUGGCGUUUCAUGCAAGAAGCCCUCCGCAGGUUGGCCUCCACGUCCGCCUACUCGGUGCGUCGCUCCACGUAGAGGCUAUUCAUUUCACGGCCGGGAGCCGCUCGCGACGUGGGCACCGUCGCGGCCACCUCGUCAAGGGUUGGCUCUCGCGGAGCACGGCCUAUAAAUUGUGCCCGCUCGCUCUGAACAAUACACCAGUAAACACAAUACAACAAGCAGCAAGUAGCAAUCAUCUAGCUGCAGCAUCUGUAGUUUCCUUCUCUUCUUCGUCCACCUUCCGCGGCUAGCUGAUUAAUGGCAACCAUGAUGACCAUGAGCUCCGUUGCCGGUGCCGCCGUCCUGCCGCGUGGCUCGGCCGGCCAUUUUGGUGCCCAAUCUCUACCUGCGAUGGGCCGGCGCGCCCUUGUCGUCAGGGCACAAACCGAGGGCCCGAGUGCACCACCGCCAAACAAACCCAAGGUAUGCAUGCCAUAUAUAGGCAGCACGGCGCCGUAGCAAAACUGAGUCCAGUGGCAAAGUUUCUGAUAAUUGUUCCUGACACAGGCGAGCACCUCGAUCUGGGACGCGCUGGCAUUCGCCGGCCCCGCACCCGAGCGCAUCAACGGGCGCCUCGCCAUGGUGGGCUUCGUGACGGCGUUGGCGGUGGAGGCAGGCCGCGGCGACGGACUCCUCUCGCAGCUUGGCAGCGGCACCGGGCAGGCGUGGUUCGCCUACUCCGUGGCGGUGCUGUCCGUGGCGUCGCUGGUGCCGUUGCUCCAGGGCGAGAGCGCCGAGGGCAGAGCCGGCACCAUCAUGAACGCCAACGCGGAGCUCUGGAACGGCCGCUUCGCCAUGCUCGGACUUGUUGCUCUGGCGGCCACGGAGAUCAUCACUGGCGCGCCCUUCAUCAACGUGUAGAAUAAACUAGCUCUGUCUUCGGCCUAGGACAUGUAAAUGAUGAGAAUUGAUCAUCCUCAUAUUCUUUGUAGUUCUUAUACUAAUUCGACAAAGACAGCUCAUACUACCAGGGCGAAGCUGCUUUGUUUCUCAUUUAAUAAGAUCUUCCUUUUAUGAAUUUUUUUGGCAGUACCCAGUCUACUUGGCCAAGGGACAUUUCAAGUUGGCAAAGUCUCUACCGAGUGUCGCACUCGGUACACUUCACACAAAGCAGGGUUCUAAUUGUUAAGUAAUAGAUUAGUUGCUUAUUAAUUAAGCUAAUUAGGAUUAAGUUAAUUCUUACCCCUCCAUUCCUAUUUUUUUUAAAGAUUUCAUUAAAUGACUACACACGAAAUAAAAUAAAUGAAUAUGCACUCUAAAGUAUAUCUAUAUACAUCUGUAUGUAGUCUUCUAGUAAAAGCUCUUAAAAAGCUUAUAAUAUUUAAGAACGGAGGGAGUAAAUAGGUUACUUAGUCCUCAAGCAACCAUGCACUUCCUUGACAGCCAAGGAAACUAUGUAAUAACUUGGCCCUUAAAUAACUUCAAGUCACUUAACUUCCAAGCAACAUGUAUAAUUCCGACCGGAUAUUAAUACCCCAUUGCUACCGUUAAUAGAAUCUAAUGAAUCAUCUUUCAUUCAUCACUUUAUCAUCACUUUCGCUCUACCUUGAGAGAAAAAGACCAUUCAAGACGACGGAACAUCGGCAGCGUUUUCUUCAGAAUCGAGCACAUCGUAGUCACGAUGGAUGGAUACAGAUCGAUCCAUGGCUUCUGGCCGAUCUUACUGCUCCAUCCGUCAACGGGAACGUCCUUACAUCAGCGGCGAGGAACUCGGCUAGCGCAAGACACGGCUGCUCAAUGCGGCCCGCUCCCGACCUCAGCAUCAUUCCAUCGCUGAAAGAUUCCACUAGGGCGUCCACGCAAAGACGACCAUACAUUAAGGACAUUAAGAACACAUUUUUUUCUGCCUCAUUUUCAACCACGAGCGAACCACCAUCAAUCGAUCCUAGAUCCCCCGAUCCACUCCGCCGUCGCAGCUCGGUUGCCCACCUCUCCCGCCCGCUCUCAUGGCGGCCAGAUCUGGGAGCCCGGAGUCCGUCUCGUCUGGACCAUUCCGGAAACCCUCGUGAUGUCCGUGAUCUCAUACGGGACACCGAAAAACAUUCGGUAACCAACCAUAUAGCUCAAAUAUGCAUAAAACAACGCCGAACCUUAAGUGUGCACACCCUACGGGUUCGAGAACUAUGUAGACACGACCCAAGGGACUUCUCGGUCAAUAUCCAAUAGCGGGACCUCAAUGCCCAUAUUGGAUCCUACAUAUUCUACGAAGAUCUUAUCGAUCGAACCUCAGUGCCAAGGAUUCAUAUAAUCCCGUAUGUCAUUCCCUUUGUCCUUCGGUAUGUUACUUGCCCGAGAUUCGAUCGUCGGCAUCCGCAUACCUAUUUCAAUCUCGUUUACCGGCAAGUCUCUUUAUUCGUUCCGUAAUAAAAGAUCCCGUGACUUACACUAAGUCACAUUGCUUGCAAGCCUUGUGUAUGAUGUUGUAUUACCGAGUGGGCCCUGAGAUACCUUUCCGUCACACGGAGUGACAAAUCCCAGUCUUGAUCCAUACUAACUCAACGGACACCUUUGGAGAUACCUGUAGAGCACCUUUAUAGUCACCCAGUUACGUUGUGACGUUUGGUACACACAAGGCAUUCCUCCGGUGCCAGUGAGUUAUAUGAUCUCAUGGUCAUAGAAAUAAAUACUUGACACGCAGAAAAACAGUAGCAACAAAAUGACACGAUCAACAUGCUACGUUCAUUAGUUUGGGUCUAGUCCAUCACAUGAUUCUCCCAAUGAUGUGAUCCCGUUAUCAAGUGACAACACUUGCCUAUGGUCAGGAAACCUUGACCAUCUUUGAUCAACGAGCUAGUCAACUAGAGGCUUACUAGGGACAGUAUUUUGUCUAUGUAUCCACACAAGUAUUGUGUUUCCAAUCAAUACAAUUAUAGCAUGGAUAAUAAACGAUUAUCAUGAACAAAGAAAUAUAAUAAUAAUUAAUUUAUUAUUGCAUCUAGAGCAUAUUUCCAACAGUUAGUUGUAGACUUUGGGAUUCUCUAGCAUGCUGUGAAUUUUCAUGCUAUUUGGAGUCCUGUAGCUAUUGGUUUUGCUGCUGUCAAUAUGCCUUCAGGCCGAAAACUGCAGUUUCAUAAACUGUUAUUUUCACUAAGUCUAAAACUAUGUGUGAGAAGCCAUUUUGUGACUUCUUUUCCUAGUGAUCCAUGAUGCCAUGCUAAUUGUUGUUAGUUGUAUGUUGUAGUGCUUCUUGCCCUCUAUUGUCUCAUGCCUUGCUUGAGCAUAUUAGGUUUGUGUAGAUCGUAGUUGUGGGGUGUAGAAAAUGCUAUGUGGCUGUUUUUGGCAGAUUGUAGUGAUAUCUUGUUUAGCUCGUAGUUUUGAACCGUUGCUCCGUUUGGAUCGUGUCCUAUAUGAAACUUGCUUAGAAUCUCGUGUAGUUUCAUUUUACCUUGCUGGUUGUGUGUUUUGAAGUGCUCGUGACCGUCGUUGUACACAUUUUGCAUUUAUGCCAUCAUAUCUUGCGGUGUCCGUAUCUUUUGAACCGUAGCUCCGUUGGAGAUGUUCUCUAUGUGUAGAUUGCUUGUAACGACGCGUAGAAUCACGUGAACCUAUUUGUUUUGCUGUUUAACAACUAAUUAAACGUGUUGGUUUAGAUCUGGACAGAAUUGUAAAUUAACAUAUGAGGUCGUUUCGGAGGUGCUAUAUGUCAUUUCCGACCUCAUUUAAAAUGCCUAGAUAGGUAGUUUAAUUGUGCAUCAACUCUUUUCAUGUGUAACCACAUUUAAUAUUUUCGUGUACCUAAUCGGGAUAGAACUAAAUAAAUAAACAUGGAGUUUCGUCAAUAUGCAACUCGUUGCAUAUUGAACUUCACUUAAUGUGUAGUGUUUGAUUGUGUGAUUUGUCAUGCCAUGUCUUGCAUAUAUUCUCCGUUCAUGCAUCAUAUGUGUUGUGCAUCGUGUGGCGAAUAUCGUGUGUUGAUGCUUGUUUCCGGUUUCCUCCGUCUCGAUGGAGUUUCGCAAGCGUGCCGGAAGUGAGGACCCGUUCGACUACAUCGGUUCGUCUGCUUCACGGAGUCAUUCUUCUUCCAAGCGGGAUCUCAGGCAAUAUGUUCAUUUCCCCAGAUACCAUUACUAUCAUUUCCAUGCUAGUUUUAUCGCUUCUACCGAUUAUGUCUCGUUGCCUACCACUUGUUAAAUAUCAGCCUGUCAACAAUGCCAUGAAAACCUUCAACCUGUUCAACCUAGCAAACCACUGAUUGGUUAUGUUACCGCUUGCUUAACCUUGUGUUAGCGUUGCUAGUUGCAGGUGCAUUGCUUCCAUGUGAAAACAUGGGUUCCUUGCUAUAUCACCCUAUUUAAUGCUAUUUAAUUUAAUGCACCUAUAUACUUGGUAAAAAGUGGAAGGCUCGGCCUUUCACCCUGGUGGUUUGUUCCACUUUUUCCCCCUUAGUUUCAGCUACCGGUGUUAUGUUCCAUAUUUGAGCGCUCCUAACACGAUCGGGGUUGUUAUGGGGACCCCCUUGAUAAUUCGUUUUAGAUUAAAGCUGGUCUGGCAAGGCCCAACAUUGGUACUACAUUUGCCCAACAUAAUUAUUUUGUUAAUACUGAAAGCAUAGGGCGUCAUAAAUCCGAGGAGUAAUUUUAUGUAAUACAGGGAGGGCCAGUGCUGACGGUGCUGGUCCAAAACAGAGCAUCGUGCGGGGCCAACCAGGGGCAACUCGGAAUAUUUCUAUCAGGCCACCGUACGCUUCCCUUAUCCAUCGUGUCCUGAGAACGAGAUAUGCGGCUCCUAACGGGAUCGUCGACACGUCGGGUGGCCUUGCUGGAUUAGUUUUACCUUUGACGAGAUAUCUUGUGCAUCGGGAUUCCGGGGAUGCUUUGGGUAAUCUCAGAGUUGAGGUUUUCCACUAAGGAGCCCGACGAGAUCGCGAGCUUCGUGAUCGAGGAUUUCUAUGCGGCUUCUGGUAAUUUGUGAUGGACUAGUUGGAGCAUCCCUGCGGGGUUAAAUCUUUUCGGAAAGCCGUGCCCGCGGUUAUGUGGCAACGUGAGAACUUUGUUUAACACUGGUUCUAGAUAACUUGAAGUUAACUUAAUUAAAAUGUGCCAACUUUGUGCGUAACCGUGACUGUCUCUUUCGUGAGUUCCUUCUCCGAUCGAGGACACGGUGGGGUUAUGUCUGACAUAGGUAGGUGUUCAGGAUCAUUCGUUUGAUCAACAAUAGUCACGUCCGCUAUGCGUAGAUCUUCCCCCUCUUAUUUCUUGUACUCGUAACUGUAGCCACCAAAUAUAUGCUUAGACGCUGCUGCAACCUCACCACUUAACCUCGCCUCACCUAUUAAGCUUUGCUAGACUUGAUACCUUUGGAAAUGAGAUUGCUGAGUCCCCUAUGGCUCACAGAUUACUACAACACGAGUUGCAGGUACAAGUAAAGGUUACUUGACGCGAGCGCGUUGAUUGUUCAUUUGGAGUUGCUUAUUCUUCUUCUUCUUCAUCGAUCUAGGAUGGGUUCCAGGCCGGCAGCCUGGGAUAGCAAGGAUGGACGUCGUUCUUCUUUUCUCGUUUGUUUUCAUCCGUAGUCGGACCCUGCUCUUCUUCAUGAUGAUUACGUAUUGUACUGCUGUGACUCUGAUGUAGCUUGUGGCGAGUGUAAACCAAUUAUAUAUAUAUAUAUAUAUCUCUUCUUUUCAGUACAUGUACUUGUAACGAUAUCCAUUCUUACGACACGACGAGAUGCACUUCUAUCCCUGACGAGGCUCUCGUGCCAAAUUGAGGAUAGGGUCGCAUCUUGAACGUGACACCCUAAUACCACUAUCAGGGCCGGGCCGACCAAAUUAGGGGCCCUGUGUUAAACUCUAAAAUAGGCCGACCAGAGGAAGAACAUCUAACGAAGAGACGCACUACAGCACAUGACCAAGCGUCUCCAAAUAACGUGGUUGUCAAUCAAAGGUGUUUUUUUGGUAGCAUGCAAAAAAACACAUCAAUGUUGUAUUUGAAAUAUUUUUCAAAAACGCUUCAAAUGAUCUUUUUUAUGAUGAUUUCAUCAAAAUACCUAAAAAACUGCAAUAUUAGAGCAAUCAGAAAAAAAUAUUUUUUAUACUUAGGAUUUUUUCAUUAUGCCGCAAAUAAUUAGAAAAUAGCUCGAACAGAAUGCCUGAUAUGAAGUUAAACAUCUCCAAACACCAGCAAAACGUGACGUCUUUAUAUACUCGUGAUAGUAUUUAUAUGGCUAUUCCGUCAGGUGUUUGAUAGUGCUGAUUAUUGAGAUGGUUGCUAUUCCUUUUCACUAGCACGAGGUCGGACCAUCAGCCGGGCGCACGUGUAAUCAGUGUUGCCGUAAUACGUGGUUGAUCCUUCUUUAGCCCUGAACAGUCAGGCCAGUUGCACUGAACUAGCCUAUGUGUCGUGCACUCAACUGAUAAACUGCUAUAAAAAAUUUGAGGCCCUAAAAAUAAGAGGUCCUGUGCGGCCGGCACUAUUGCACAUGUGGUUGGUCCAGCCCACUAUUGAGCCAUUAUAAAGAGAAAUAAUAAUUUUCAUAAUUUUUUGAAUAACUAUACUGGUAGUUUAGUACCACACAUAGGUCAGAUCAACGUAUGCAUGUGGCAUGGUAGUUGUGUGAGUACAACAAUUGCUCCUGAUUUCCUGCCUGCGAGGCUCCGAAGUGCUUUUGAUUAGCUCGGGCAAGAAACAAAAACCGAUCGAAUCCAUAGUGAUAAGCUUGUUGUCGAUGCUUUCCUACUUUUCUGUUUGGCGUUUCAUGCAAGAAGCCCUCCACGUCCGCCUACUCGCUGCGUUGCUCCACGUAGAGGCUAAUUCAUUUCACGGCCGGGAGCCGCUCGCGACGUGGGCACCGUCGCGGCCACCGCGGCCACCUCGUCAGGGGUUGGCUUUCGCGGAGCACGGCCUAUAAAUUGUGCACACGCGCUCUGAGUAAUACACCAGUAAACACUCGGCGACACACAAUACAACAAACAGCAAGUAGCAAUCAUCUAGUUGCAGCAUCUGUAGCUUCCUUUUCUUCUUCGUCUACCUUCCGCGGCUAGCUGAUUAAUAGCAACCAUGAUGACCACGAGCUCCUUCGCCGGUGCCGCCGUCCUGCCGCGUGGCUCGGCCGGUCACUUCGGUGUCCAGUCUAUGCCUGCGCUGGCCCGUCGCGCCCUCGUCGUCAGGGCACAAACCGAAGGCCCGAGCUCACCACAGCCAAGCAAACCCAAGGCGAGCACCUCGAUCUGGGACGCGCUGGCGUUCGCCGGCCCAGCGCCGGAGCGCAUCAACGGGCGCCUUGCCAUGGUAGGCUUCGUGACGGCGCUGGCGGUGGAGGCAGGGCGCGGCGAUGGGCUCCUCUCGCAGCUCGGCAGCGGCACCGGGCAGGCGUGGUUCGCCUACUCCGUGGCCGUGCUGUCCGUGGCGUCACUCGUGCCGCUGCUCCAGGGCGAGAGCGCCGAGGGCAGAGCCGGAGCAAUCAUGAACGCCAACGCGGAGCUCUGGAACGGCCGCUUCGCCAUGCUCGGUCUCGUCGCGCUCGCCGCCACCGAGAUCAUCACCGGCGCGCCAUUCAUCAACGUGUAAAACUAGCUCUGUCGUCGACCGGAUAACACAACGUGUACUUAGC